CCAGACUCCUACGGGAGGCAGCAGUGGGGAAUAUUGCACAAUGGGGGAAACCCUGAUGCAGCGACGCCGCGUGGAGGAAGAAGGUCUUCGGAUUGUAAACUCCUGUCCUUGGGGACGAUAAUGACGGUACCCAAGGAGGAAGCACCGGCUAACUCCGUGCCAGCAGCCGCGGUAAUACGGAGGAUGCGAGCGUUAUCCGGAUUUAUUGGGUUUAAAGGGUGCGUAGGCGGAAUGCCAAGUCAGCGGUAAAAUCGCGGGGCUCAACCUCGCUCCGCCGUUGAAACUGGCGUUCUUGAGUGGGCGAGAAGUAUGCGGAAUGCGUGGUGUAGCGGUGAAAUGCAUAGAUAUCACGCAGAACUCCGAUUGCGAAGGCAGCAUACCGGCGCCCAACUGACGCUGAAGCACGAAAGCGUGGGUAUCGAACAGGAUUAGAUACCCUAGUA
Molecule: ribosomal RNA, 443 nt
Filed under: uncultured bacterium
Lineage: Bacteria
Description: bacterial SSU rRNA
Rfam family: Bacterial small subunit ribosomal RNA
Source: RNAcentral